UACGUAGGGUGCGAGCGUUGUCCGGAAUUAUUGGGCGUAAAGAGCUUGUAGGCGGUUUGUCGCGUCUGCCGUGAAAAUCCGGGGCUCAACCCCGGACUUGCGGUGGGUACGGGCAGACUAGAGUGUGGUAGGGGAGACUGGAAUUCCUGGUGUAGCGGUGAAAUGCGCAGAUAUCAGGAGGAACACCGAUGGCGAAGGCAGGUCUCUGGGCCACUACUGACGCUGAGAAGCGAAAGCGUGGGGGAGCGAACAGG
RNAcentral lists this ribosomal RNA (254 nucleotides) under uncultured bacterium. Its description in RNAcentral is "partial 16S ribosomal RNA". It matches the Rfam family "Bacterial small subunit ribosomal RNA", at positions 524 to 776 of the family's 1533-position model. The record is from RNAcentral.